RNAcentral lists this ribosomal RNA (585 nucleotides) under Magnaporthaceae sp. DR1-4. RNAcentral's name for it is "SSU rRNA". It matches the Rfam family "Eukaryotic small subunit ribosomal RNA", at positions 15 to 604 of the family's 1831-position model. The record is from RNAcentral. RNAcentral also lists the same sequence under 3 other names. Lineage: Eukaryota; Fungi; Ascomycota; Sordariomycetes; Magnaporthales; Magnaporthaceae.
UGCCAGUAGUCAUAUGCUUGUCUUAAAGAUUAAGCCAUGCAUGUCUAAGUAUAAGCAAUUAUACAGCGAAACUGCGAAUGGCUCAUUAAAUCAGUUAUCGUUUAUUUGAUAGUACCUUACUACAUGGAUAACCGUGGUAAUUCUAGAGCUAAUACAUGCUGAAAACCCCGACUUCGGAAGGGGUGUAUUUAUUAGAUUAAAAACCAAUGCCCUUCGGGGCUCACUGGUGAUUCAUGAUAACUUCUCGAAUCGCACGGCCUUGCGCCGGCGAUGGUUCAUUCAAAUUUCUGCCCUAUCAACUUUCGACGGCUGGGUCUUGGCCAGCCGUGGUGACAACGGGUAACGGAGGGUUAGGGCUCGACCCCGGAGAAAACGCCUGAGAAACGGCGUUUACAUCCAAGGAAGGCAGCAGGCGCGCAAAUUACCCAAUGCCGACACGGCGAGGUAGUGACGAGAAAUACUGAUACAGGGCUCUUUUGGGUCUUGUAAUUGGAAUGAGUACAAUUUAAAUCUCUUAACGAGGAACAAUUGGAGGGCAAGUCUGGUGCCAGCAGCCGCGGUAAUUCCAGCUCCAAUAGCGUAUAU